Molecule: long non-coding RNA, 249 nt
Filed under: Homo sapiens (human)
Lineage: Eukaryota; Metazoa; Chordata; Mammalia; Primates; Hominidae
Description: HSALNT0111183
Source: RNAcentral
CUGACUCAGUCCAGCAGCUCACUAGGACCCUCACAUCUGUUGCCCUAGCUGGUCAUUCGGUCCAGUCAAACAUGCCUGUCCACUGACCUUUCGUCUGUGCUGCAUGGAGCCAUCAGUCUGUCUUACCUGCUUGCCUAGGGGGCUUUCUGGAUGUCGUCCCGAGAAUUUUCCUGUCUCAGGGCUGUACUUUCUGGGUUCCCGGUGGUUGAUUGCUGGUCUCUAAUGAUGCAGUGGAAAGGGCUUGAGAUC